CCCCACCCCCAUUAAAGGUGCCCAUCCCUGCAUUACAUUUAUAAAUACUGAUAGAUAGUUGACAGUGACAUUCCCAGAGUAGGAGGGACAGUUGAAAACAAACAUGCUUUUUCUUUGUAUGCUUUCCAAUCACUUCUAGCCUUGGUCCCAGUCUGUUGGAGUUCACAAGAUGAUAUAAACGGAUCUGGGAUUAGCUAAUUCACUUCCACAUUGUUACGUGUAAUCCUGAAUUACUGUCCAUUCUGAUCAGAGAAUAAAAGUACAUGACCAAUUUCUUCCCACUGGACAAAUACUGGUUGAAUCAACGUUGUUUCCACAUUUCAACCAAAUAACUCAAUGUGAUGACGUUAUCAACACAGAAAACUGAUUGGAUUUGAAAAAAGUCAUCAACGUAAAGGUCAUUUCGUUUUUUUUUUCCCCACACGACUUUUAACCUAAAUCAAAUGACAUCGUGAAAUGUUUUGUUAAUUUCACAUUGAAUUCACAUUAUUUGACAACUUGACCACAUGUAAAUCGAAACUAGACGUCUGACACCCAGUGUGCUGUUUGUUCUCCUUUUCGGUUUGUUUUCUUACAUUGUUAUUUGAACAGUAACUGUGAGGACAUUUUUAUUUGAAAAUAAAUAAAGAGAAAACAACUUGGCAUGGUAUUUCCACACCCUCACAUUAUGCAUCGCAUGUUUCAAGAGGUUGUUUUUCCUUCUUCCUGAACACAAUAUGCUGUUUAUUAUUAUGACAAGUCUCACCUAUUUUAUUUUCAUGCUGUUUCAUCUUGUCCUGUCUUUACUGUUUUCACCGGGACACUUCUGCUAGUUAAUAUAUGUCUUGGAGACUCUGUUACUAUAAACUGGGAUGGGGCCCUGGUCAAAUAUAGCGCACUAUACACCAAGUGUACAUAACAUUAAGAACACCUGCCUAAUUUUGAUUUGCCCCCCCUUUAACCCUCAGAACUGCCUCAAUUCGUUGUGGCAUGGACACUCCAAGGUAUCAAAAGCGUUCCACAGGGAUGCUGGCCCAUGUUGACUCCAAUUCUUCCCACAGUUUUUAAUCUUCUCAAACCGGUGUGACUGGCACCUACACCCAUACCGCACUUGAAUCUUUUGUCACCCUCUGAAUGGCACAGAUAAACAAUCCAUGUCUCAGUUGUCUCAAGGCUUAAAACUCCUUCUUUAAUCCGUCUUCUCCUCUUCAUCUACACUGAUUGAAGUGGAUUUAACAGGUGACAUCAAUAAGGGAUCAUAGCUUUGACCUGGAUUCACCUGGUCAGUGUAUGUGAUGGUAAGAGCUGGUCUUCCUAAUGCUUUGUACACUCAGUGUAUAUUGAAUAGUGUGUCAUUGGGGUCGCAGGUUUUUGUCUAUGAUAGAACUAUUUUUGCAAAAACUGAUGCUGUAUUCUAUAAAUAAAGCUACUCUGUAUUUUAAUUG
Molecule: long non-coding RNA, 1424 nt
Organism: Oncorhynchus tshawytscha (Chinook salmon)
Lineage: Eukaryota; Metazoa; Chordata; Actinopteri; Salmoniformes; Salmonidae
Source: Ensembl